AUGGAGUCUCGCUCUGUCACCCAGGCUGAAGUGCAGUGGCACGAUCUCAGCAGACUGCAACCUCCGCCUCCCGGGUUCAAGAGAUUCUCCUGCCUCAGCCUCCCAAGUAGCUGGAAUUACAGCAUCUUACUGCCACAGAGGAAGAUGUGGGGCAGGCGGGUGUUUGAAGAAUGUGAAAUGCAGAUUUUCAUCCAGUUCUUGCAGAAAGCAACAAAGUCAAAGCCCUCCCAGGACCCAGACAAUGGGGAUUUUCAGGACAUACACUGGCUUUCACCUGAUUUGGAUCCAUGUAUAUACUGCCUUUUUAUUGAGACAGGAUCUCGCUCUGUGGCCCAGGCUGGAGUGCAGUGGAGUGAUCACAGCUCACUGCAGCCUUGAUCUCCCAGGCUCGACCUCCUGAGUAGCUGAAACCACAGGCAUGUGCUGCCACACCUGGCUUAUUUUUAUACUUUUUCUAGAGAUGGGGUUCCCAGGCUGGUCUCAAACUCCUGGACUCAAGUGAUCCUCCUGCCUCGGCCUCCCAAAGUGCUAGGACUAUAGGCAUGAGCUACCAUGCCUGGCCUAUAUACUGCCUUUUAAUAUGAGGCCUUUAUCCUGCUCUAAAAUUCUUUCCUGAUUUUUGAUUCUUGUAAAAUCUAGUUUAGCAAUGGGGUAGAGUAUUUCCUGAAUCCUCAGUGUUUUUCAAUAAAUUGGAAUUUCCUCUUCCUGUUUAA
Homo sapiens (human) is the source of this 713-nucleotide long non-coding RNA. RefSeq annotates it as DNAJC18 antisense RNA 1. The transcript has 2 exons. The record is from RefSeq and is a predicted model, not a curated record. NCBI's taxonomy places the organism in Eukaryota, Metazoa, Chordata, Mammalia, Primates, Hominidae.